ACGGCUGUGGUCUAGCGGUAUGAUCGGAGCUUCCCAAGCUCUUGGUUCGGGUUCGACAACAACUACAGCAUUGAUAUGCUGAGUGACGAAACUCCCGGCAGCCGUA
This 106-nucleotide transfer RNA is filed under the name Candidatus Woesearchaeota archaeon. Its description in RNAcentral is "tRNA-Gly". Lineage: Archaea; Nanobdellati; Candidatus Woesearchaeota. The record is from RNAcentral.